This 253-nucleotide ribosomal RNA is filed under the name uncultured bacterium. RNAcentral describes it as "partial 16S ribosomal RNA". It matches the Rfam family "Bacterial small subunit ribosomal RNA", at positions 524 to 776 of the family's 1533-position model. The record is from RNAcentral.
UACAGAGACUGCAAGCGUUAUUCGGAUUCACUGGGCGUAAAGGGUGCGCAGGCGGCCAAGUGUGUUAGGCGUGAAAGCCCGGGGCUUAACCCCGGAAUUGCACCUAAAACUACAUGGCUAGAGCAUUGGAGAGGGUAGCGGAAUUCACGGUGUAGCAGUGAGAUGCGUAGAUAUCGUGAGGAACACCAGAGGCGAAGGCGGCUACCUGGACAAUUGCUGACGCUCAGGCACGAAAGCGUGGGGAGCAAAAGGG